CAGCCGCCGCGGUAAUACGUAGGUGGCAAGCGUUGUCCGGAAUUAUUGGGCGUAAAGGGCUCGCAGGCGGAUUCUUAAGUCUGAUGUGAAAGCCCCCGGCUCAACCGGGAGGGUCAUUGGAAACUGGGAAACUUGAGUGCAGAAGAGGAGAGUGGAAUUCCACGUGUAGCGGUGAAAUGCGUAGAGAUGUGGAGGAACACCAGUGGCGGAGGCGACUCUCUGGUCUGUAACUGACGCUGAGGAGCGAAAGCGUGGGGGGCGAACAGGAUUAGAUACCCCUGUAGUCCCUGUCUCUUAUACA
This 301-nucleotide ribosomal RNA is filed under the name uncultured bacterium. RNAcentral describes it as "partial 16S ribosomal RNA". It matches the Rfam family "Bacterial small subunit ribosomal RNA", at positions 509 to 808 of the family's 1533-position model. The record is from RNAcentral.